This 256-nucleotide transfer-messenger RNA is filed under the name Myxococcaceae bacterium. RNAcentral's name for it is "partial transfer-messenger RNA". It matches the Rfam family "transfer-messenger RNA", at positions 110 to 374 of the family's 374-position model. From Rfam's summary of the family: Bacterial tmRNA, also known as 10Sa RNA or SsrA, is named for its dual tRNA and mRNA-like properties. Its role is to liberate the mRNA from a stalled ribosome. To accomplish this part of the tmRNA is used as a reading frame that ends in a translation stop signal. The record is from RNAcentral. Lineage: Bacteria; Pseudomonadati; Myxococcota; Myxococcia; Myxococcales; Myxococcaceae.
GCUCGCGCUGGCUGCCUAACUAGCAGUCUUUAGUGCGCGGUCCCCCUGCUCUCGGUCCGUGGGGUAGGGAUGGGCCGUCAUAAUGCGGACUGGUCGCCAAGGGUGCCUGGGCCCGAGGUGACGAGAUCUUUCCAGGACCGGCAUCAGGGAUCCCGUCCGUGGGAGCCCUGGUGACGUAGCAAAUCGCGGACUACGCACGUAGGGUCGAAGAGCCGACGGCUUUCGGACGAGGGUUCGAUUCCCUCCGCCUCCACUU